RNAcentral lists this ribosomal RNA (253 nucleotides) under uncultured bacterium. RNAcentral's name for it is "partial 16S ribosomal RNA". It matches the Rfam family "Bacterial small subunit ribosomal RNA", at positions 524 to 776 of the family's 1533-position model. The record is from RNAcentral.
UACGUAGGUGGCAAGCGUUGUUCGGAAUUACUGGGCGUAAAGGGCGCGUAGGCGGCCGCCUAAGUCAGACGUGAAAUCCCUCGGCUCAACCGGGGAACUGCGUCUGAUACUGGGUGGCUUGAAUUCGGGAGAGGGAUGCGGAAUUCCAGGUGUAGCGGUGAAAUGCGUAGAUAUCUGGAGGAACACCGGUGGCGAAGGCGGCAUCCUGGACCGAGAUUGACGCUGAGGCGCGAAAGCCAGGGGAGCAAACGGG